CCUACGGGGGGCAGCAGUGGGGAAUAUUGCACAAUGGGGGAAACCCUGAUGCAGCGACGCCGCGUGAGUGAAGAAGUAUUUCGGUAUGUAAAGCUCUAUCAGCAGGAACGAGACAAGACGGUACCUGACUAAUAAGCCCCGGCUAACUACGUGCCAGCAGCCGCGGUAAUACGUAGGGGGCAAGCGUUAUCCGGAAUCACUGGGUGUAAAGGGAGCGUAGACGGCUGUGCAAGCCUGAAGUGAAAGGCGGGGGACCAACCCCUGGACUGCUUUGGGAACUGUACGGCUGGAGUGCAGGAGAGGUAAGUGGAAUUCCUGGUGUAGCGGUGAAAUGCGUAGAUAUUAGGAGGAACACCAGUGGCGAAGGCGGCUUACUGGACUGUAACUGACGUUGAGGCUCGAAAGCGUGGGGAGCAAACAGGAUUAGAUACCCGUGUAGUC
This 441-nucleotide ribosomal RNA is filed under the name uncultured bacterium. RNAcentral's name for it is "partial 16S ribosomal RNA". It matches the Rfam family "Bacterial small subunit ribosomal RNA", at positions 338 to 795 of the family's 1533-position model. The record is from RNAcentral.